UUCCUACGGGAGGCAGCAGUGGGGAAUAUUGCACAAUGGGCGAAAGCCUGAUGCAGCAACGCCGCGUGAAGGAAGACGGUUUUCGGAUUGUAAACUUCUGUUCUUAGUGAAGGAUAAUGACGGUAACUAAGGAGCAAGCCACGGCUAACUACGUGCCAGCAGCCGCGGUAAUACGUAGGUGGCAAGCGUUGUCCGGAAUUACUGGGCGUAAAGCGCGCGUAGGCUGUUGUGUAAGUUGGGGGUGAAAUCCCACGGCUCAACCGUGGAACAGCCCUUGAUACUGCGCGACUUGAAUCCGGGAGAGG
RNAcentral lists this ribosomal RNA (305 nucleotides) under uncultured bacterium. Its description in RNAcentral is "bacterial SSU rRNA". It matches the Rfam family "Bacterial small subunit ribosomal RNA", at positions 336 to 657 of the family's 1533-position model. The record is from RNAcentral.